Molecule: ribosomal RNA, 213 nt
Filed under: Alexandrium margalefii
Lineage: Eukaryota; Dinophyceae; Gonyaulacales; Pyrocystaceae
Description: partial Bacterial large subunit ribosomal RNA
Rfam family: Bacterial large subunit ribosomal RNA
Source: RNAcentral
GGGUGAGUCGGCCCCUAAGACGAGCCCGAAGGGGGUAGUCGAUGGGAACACGGUUAAUAUUCCGUGACCUGGUGGAAUGUGACGGAUCUCGUGUGUUGUCUGAUCUUAUUGGAUUGAUCAGGCUUCGAAGAGGUUCCAGGAAAUAGCUCCACCAUAUAGACCGUACCCUAAACCGACACAGGUGGGCAGGUAGAAGAUACCAAGGCGCUUGAG